RNAcentral lists this non-coding RNA (30 nucleotides) under Homo sapiens (human). Lineage: Eukaryota; Metazoa; Chordata; Mammalia; Primates; Hominidae. The record is from RNAcentral.
UCCUGUAGGAAGGGGCUGAGGCCUAAGUUU